This is a long non-coding RNA of Meriones unguiculatus (Mongolian gerbil), 885 nucleotides long. RefSeq lists it as uncharacterized. NCBI's taxonomy places the organism in Eukaryota, Metazoa, Chordata, Mammalia, Rodentia, Muridae. The transcript is spliced from 4 exons. The record is from RefSeq and is a predicted model, not a curated record.
CCUUCUGUCACCUUUUCAGGGGCUGGACGGUUCUGGCUCUGGCGUGUUUUGGGCUUGGUUUUGUUUUUGUCUCCAACUUUUGGCGCAAUCUAACCAGAGACAGAAACACAUGUGAGUGGAGAAGAGGAAGAGGGAGAGGAAGAGAAGAAGUAUUUGGCAUCAAAGGGAGUCUGUGAAGAGAUGAAGAACCUGCAUUUCUUUCUGGGGAUGCCUUAUUUCUAUCCUACAAUACACGGUCACCAGAGGACUGCAUUACUGCAGAGCCAGGACUCUCUUGGAAACCCUGAAUGGAUAUGGAAGCCUGUGUGCAAAGCAGCUUUCUUCCGGACUAUUCAUCCCUCCUGUUGCAGCCUCAGCUCCCUCUUAAGCUUUUCCCAGUAAGCAGCCUGCCUGCACAGUGACAUGUCUUUCCUGCUUCCUGUAUUCUUGUGGCUUAGAUCAACUGGGGCAAAUGUCUUUUUCCCUUUCUGUUUCUGCUUGCUUGGAGCAUGUUCUACUUCUAUAGUAAAGGGUUUGUGGGACAGAUGUAAACAAAGCCUCUCUCAGACAAGUAAGAGAAGCUUUGUGACCCCGAGUACUACAAAAUCAUACUUACACCACUGGUCACACUACAAAAGAGUGUGACCUGUUGCCCGAAAGUGUUAACAAGGUUUCAUCUCGAACAAUAGGAACAAGCUUCGUGGAGGAAGGGUUUACAAUGGACUCACUGCAGAGAUUUGGGAUGAGGGGGAGCAGGGAAGAGAACCAGCAGGAAUUGAAUCCUACAUAGGACUUGGCCCCCACAUGUAUUUGUACCAUGAGAAUAGUAAACAAAGUCUUUGCACUUCAAUCCACUUUCCAUGGAUGGGAAAAGACACUUUAUUGAAACUGGUAAAAAUUAGCUGC